CCUACGGGAGGCAGCAGUGAGGAAUAUUGGUCAAUGGGCGCGAGCCUGAACCAGCCAAGUAGCGUGAAGGAUGACUGCCCUACGGGUUGUAAACUUCUUUUAUAAAGGAAUAAAGUGAGGCACGUGUGCCUUUUUGUAUGUACUUUAUGAAUAAGGAUCUGCUAACUCCGUUCCAGCAGCCGCGGUAAUACGGAGGAUCCGGGCGUUAUCCGGAUUUAUUUGGUUUAAAGGGAGCGUAGAUGGGUUGUUAAGUCAGUUGUGAAAGUUUGCGGCUCAACCGUAAAAUUGCAAUUGCUACUGGCAGCCUUGAGUACAGUUGAGGUAGGCGGAAUUCGUGGUGUAGCGGUGAAAUGCUUAGAUAUCACGAAGAACUCCGAUUGCGAAGGCAGCCUACUAAACUGCCACUGACAUUGAUGCUCGAAAGUGUGGGUAUCAAACAGGAGUAGAUACCCUUGUAGUC
Molecule: ribosomal RNA, 460 nt
Filed under: uncultured bacterium
Lineage: Bacteria
Description: partial 16S ribosomal RNA
Rfam family: Bacterial small subunit ribosomal RNA
Source: RNAcentral